GUAGGGCGCGAGCGUUGUCCGGAAUUAUUGGGCGUAAAGAGCUCGUAGGCGGUCUGUCGCGUCGGAUGUGAAAGCCCGGGGCUUAACCCCGGGUCUGCAUUCGAUACGGGCAGACUAGAGUGUGGUAGGGGAGAUCGGAAUUCCUGGUGUAGCGGUGAAAUGCGCAGAUAUCAGGAGGAACACCGGUGGCGAAGGCGGAUCUCUGGGCCAUUACUGACGCUGAGGAGCGAAAGCGUGGGGAGCGAACAGGAUUAGAUACCCUGGUAGUCCACGCCGUAAACGGUGGGAACUAGGUGUUGGCGACAUUCCACGUCGUCGGUGCCGCAGCUAACGCAUUAAGUUCCCCGCCUGGGGAGUACGGCCGCAAGGCUA
Molecule: ribosomal RNA, 372 nt
Filed under: uncultured bacterium
Lineage: Bacteria
Description: bacterial SSU rRNA
Rfam family: Bacterial small subunit ribosomal RNA
Source: RNAcentral